AGCAUGGUCUUAGCUUGCUAAGGCCGAUGGCGACCGGCGCACGGGUGAGUAACACGUAUCCCACCUGCCGUCUACUCUUGGACAGCCUUCUGAAAGGAAGAUUAAUACAAGAUGGCAUCAUGAGUCCGCAUGUUCACAUGAUUAAAGGUAUUCCGGUAGACGAUGGGGAUGCGUUCCAUUAGAUAGUAGGCGGGGUAACGGCCCACCUAGUCUUCGAUGGAUAGGGGUUCUGAGAGGAAGGUCCCCCACAUUGGAACUGAGACACGGUCCAAACUCCUACGGGAGGCAGCAGUGAGGAAUAUUGGUCAAUGGGCGAGAGCCUGAACCAGCCAAGUAGCGUGAAGGAUGACUGCCCUAUGGGUUGUAAACUUCUUUUAUACGGGAAUAAAGUGGAGUAUGCAUACUCCUUUGUAUGUACCGUAUGAAUAAGGAUCGGCUAACUCCGUGCCAGCAGCCGCGGUAAUACGGAGGAUCCGAGCGUUAUCCGGAUUUAUUGGGUUUAAAGGGAGCGUAGGCGGGUGCUUAAGUCAGUUGUGAAAGUUUGCGGCUCAACCGUAAAAUUGCAGUUGAUACUGGGUACCUUGAGUGCAGCAUAGGUAGGCGGAAUUCGUGGUGUAGCGGUGAAAUGCUUAGAUAUCACGAAGAACUCCGAUUG
Molecule: ribosomal RNA, 655 nt
Filed under: uncultured Bacteroides sp.
Lineage: Bacteria; Pseudomonadati; Bacteroidota; Bacteroidia; Bacteroidales; Bacteroidaceae
Description: bacterial SSU rRNA
Rfam family: Bacterial small subunit ribosomal RNA
Source: RNAcentral